RNAcentral lists this unclassified non-coding RNA (300 nucleotides) under uncultured fungus. Its description in RNAcentral is "sequence contains 5.8S rRNA gene, ITS2". The stretch from base 1 to 69 matches the Rfam family "5.8S ribosomal RNA", at positions 84 to 154 of the family's 154-position model. The record is from RNAcentral. Lineage: Eukaryota; Fungi.
GUGAAUCAUCGAAUCUUUGAACGCAACUUGCACCAUCCAGAAGUGGAUGGUAUGUCUGUUUGAGUACGAUUAAAAACUGCGCUUCGGUGCGAUGUGGCCCACAGGGUGGGUUGAAAAUGAGCCAGUCAGGCUGGACGGUCUGGCAGUGUGCUAGGGAUCAUGGGUGUGGGAGUGGGCGGUGCUGUGGGCGUGUGGAAUGUAGGUGCAGAAGUGCAUUCGCAAUCCACACUGCGCACAACACCACCCCCUCGCAUGCUCACUGUCUUGUCGCUGUCGGCGCUAACCAGCCAUCAAUUCAAU